GGUGAGUGCCAGCAGGAAAAGGCUGAGCGGUCUGGUGGGAACCUAUUUGGGGCAGGGGGAGGGGCGGAGGAGCGAGACCCAAUCUAGCUCCGGAGCCCUUGGAGAAAGUUUGCGCAACACGUCUCUGUCCAGCCAUCCAGGCAGGCAGGCAGGCCAGAAUAAUGCUUCCCCAGGAGAGAGCCGAGGCAAGCUGAAGUCAGUGCACCUAGCGGUGUGGGCUCCCGGCACCACUCUCCCCACUGGGUAGCUGGUGACUAAUGGAUGAGCCUCUCCAGUUCUGUUCUGUUCCCACCCAAAGUCCGCUAAUAGGACCGUAAUUAAGAUGAAAUGAAGAGGUCGAAGACUGCAUGCUAGGUUUCUGCAGCAACAUCCAGAAAGUUGAGGGCGCCACACUCUCCAAGGGGUCUGCGGAAGCGGGAGUUUGGGGCUGCGAUUUUCAGGGCACUAUGGAUGCUCAGAUGCAAGCUGCAAGAAACCUAACACGCCCCUUGCAAAAGCUGCAGCUGCCUCUUGCAGGGUUCUGCAGACCUCACCCUUCUCGUGGCCAGACACCCUGUGAUGAAUUUUGGCCUGGGAUCCGUUAUUAU
This 587-nucleotide long non-coding RNA is filed under the name Homo sapiens (human). RNAcentral's name for it is "HSALNT0285833". Lineage: Eukaryota; Metazoa; Chordata; Mammalia; Primates; Hominidae. The record is from RNAcentral.